CGCCCCUCUCUGACCUCAGCCAGGAGCCGUGGCUCAGGGGUCCGACUGGGGACAGAAAGGAGAAAGAAUCUCGCUGUGGCUUCGGCGAGGAGUCCAGAGGGAGAGAACAAGGGCGAAGGGACAGGGAGGAGGGGGCGAGCUCGAGUUCGCUGCACCUCCACCGCAGGUAUUUCAGAAAGAAUUAAUCUUUUUGAAGUUGGCCACAGCUGCGAUUUAACUGACACCCUGUUCAACCGGGUGACAAUUGUUCAGCUUGAUGGGGGCGACUCACCAGCCACCCUUCAUAGAAAACAAAAUCUGACUCCCUGGUUCCUGGUUCCUUUGUACCAAGGGGCAGGGUGAACGUAAGACGGCCUGGGCCAUGGCGAAGCUAUCGAAGUCUUUAUUCCAUUUGUGUUAAUGUGCUUCACCAAAGCCGAAUUAGACUCUCUCUACUCCAGAAGGAACCAGGGCAUCAAGAAUAUGCUGGAGGAUUGGAGGCCACUGAGGUUGAGGGAAGGAGAACUGGGAAGGAAGGUCCCUGCGAACACGUCUCCCUCAUGUCAGCCAGGCCAGUUGUCCAGGAGACAUUCUGAAUAAUGCCUCAUCCUGGAAGUGGCUUGUGUUCUCAUGGACAGCGGAGAAAAAUGGAAACAUGAGCCAAAGGAAGAUUCCAGAACCUAGGAACAUGUUUGUGCGGGUCUGCAGACAGCAGACAGACAUCCCUCCAUUCUCUGAGAGCCACUCUUCUGUGUUAUGACUGGACCCGUAGUCACUAGGUUUCCAAAGGCAGAGUAAGUCUGUGGGAAAACUGACCCCUGGUGUCCACAGGGAGUGGAGUAGGUAUUAUUUGUUGUAUUUUAGUAGGACCUUUAGUGGAAUCACUAAAGGAAGAUCAGCUGACAACUAGGAUGAGUAUAAGAGCUGAAAAGUGACUUUCACGGCUGUCCCUGGUAACUAGAAUACGUCUAUAGCUUCCUGAAUAGACAAUUCCACCCUACUUUUUUUCUUUCUUCUUUGGCCGCAUCUAUGGCAUAUGGAAGUUCCAGGGCCAGGGCUUGAACCUGAGCCACAGCUUUGACU
This 1062-nucleotide long non-coding RNA is filed under the name Sus scrofa (pig). Its description in RNAcentral is "lncRNA (ENSSSCG00055007447.1)". The record is from RNAcentral. Lineage: Eukaryota; Metazoa; Chordata; Mammalia; Artiodactyla; Suidae.